UACGGGGGGGGGCAAGCGUUGUUCGGAAUUACUGGGCGUAAAGGGCGCGUAGGCGGCGUGUCAAGUCAGGCGUGAAAGCCCCGGGCUCAACCUGGGAACCGCGCUUGAGACUGGCAUGCUCGAGUUCGGGAGAGGAUGGUGGAAUUCCCAGUGUAGAGGUGAAAUUCGUAGAUAUUGGGAAGAACACCGAUGGCGAAGGCAGCCAUCUGGACCGACACUGACGCUGAGGCGCGAAAGCGUGGGGAGCAAACAGG
This 254-nucleotide ribosomal RNA is filed under the name uncultured bacterium. RNAcentral's name for it is "partial 16S ribosomal RNA". It matches the Rfam family "Bacterial small subunit ribosomal RNA", at positions 524 to 776 of the family's 1533-position model. The record is from RNAcentral.